Molecule: ribosomal RNA, 469 nt
Filed under: uncultured bacterium
Lineage: Bacteria
Description: partial 16S ribosomal RNA
Rfam family: Bacterial small subunit ribosomal RNA
Source: RNAcentral
GGACGAACGCUGGCGGCGUGCUUACCCCAUGCAAGUCGAACGGAAAGGCCCUGCUUUUGUGGGGUGCUCGAGUGGCGAACGGGUGAGUAACACGUGAGUAACCUGCCCUUGACUUUGGGAUAACUUCAGGAAACUGGGGCUAAUACCGGAUAGGAGCUCCUGCUGCAUGGUGGGGGUUGGAAAGUUUCGGCGGUUGGGGAUGGACUCGCGGCUUAUCAGCUUGUUGGUGGGGUAGUGGCUUACCAAGGCUUUGACGGGUAGCCGGCCUGAGAGGGUGACCGGCCACAUUGGGACUGAGAUACGGCCCAGACUCCUACGGGAGGCAGCAGUGGGGAAUAUUGCAAAAUGGGCGGAAGCCUGAUGCAGCAACGCCGCGUGCGGGAUGACGGCCUUCGGGUUGUAAACCGCUUUCGCCUGUGACGAAGCGUGAGUGACGGUAAUGGGUAAAGAAGCACCGGCUAACUACGUG